This 997-nucleotide unclassified non-coding RNA is filed under the name Hevea brasiliensis (rubber tree). The record is from RNAcentral. Lineage: Eukaryota; Viridiplantae; Streptophyta; Magnoliopsida; Malpighiales; Euphorbiaceae.
CUAGAGUCCCAAAAAUUAUUUCACGAAUUUUCCCCCGGGUUUAGAGCUUUUAGCUGUGAAAACAGCAACUUCCCGUUAACUUACCCAUCGCUAGGGCACCGACUCAUUUAACUUUGUUGUAUUUUAUUUUUAAAAUUUUUUCUUAAUUUUUUUUACACUUAUUUGAAUUAUUUAUGACUCUCACUCUAGUCUACAUAUAGUUUCAGACAUUCUAACUGUCCGAACAGACAUUAAUCACCGGAACAGUCAAAUGCACAGACUAGCUAAAGCUAGCUAAAGUGAGGGUGUAACAAUUAUCACCCAUGUUGCAGAGUCUGAUUGCAGGAAUAACAGGUUACCCAGAACUCUUUCUAGUCAAAGUAUACAGGAUGACCAACUAAACAAGUUAUUUGAAUUUUGUUAUGCAGAUUUUAAAGGAAUGUAGACCAUAUCGUCCUCCCUGAGAACUUUAACAACUCUAGAAAGGCGCAAUUAGCACCUCAUACGAUUAUGUGAAAUCAAUUUCAAAAUUCCACAGAAAAAACAAAGUACAUGAAACGUAUUAGACAAAUUAACCCACCUCUUCAAAACAAUUAACAUUUCAACUAAUCUUAAUAGGAAGUAGAAACAAAGAAUAAACAUAAAAAAUAAUAUUAAUCACUGCAGAACAUAAAGCAAUCAUAUUAGUUAUUUUGAACACUGAAUGCAAAUAACACUCGCCGCUUAAGCCAAACAAUCAAGUCACAAACUUUCUUCCAAUUUCCCACAAUUUCUUGGCAACUAAGCGCAGCUGAAGUUUCUGAAGAAAAUGAAUGAAAAAGAGAAGGCACAUCAAAUGAUUGUUUACAUGGCCUUGUAGCCAGAGAUUUCAGAUGCGUUUCUUGGAUUUAAACAAUUCCCAAAAAUUCAUCUUCCCAGAUAUGCGGAUAGUGAGGGAGAAAAUCAGAGAGAAAUCGAGAAAAAAUGAUAUAUAUACAAAGAGAAAAAGAGGAGAUACCUAGAUUUAUGGGUCUGCCAA